RNAcentral lists this ribosomal RNA (496 nucleotides) under uncultured bacterium. RNAcentral's name for it is "partial 16S ribosomal RNA". It matches the Rfam family "Bacterial small subunit ribosomal RNA", at positions 29 to 507 of the family's 1533-position model. The record is from RNAcentral.
AUGAACGCUGGCGGCGUGCCUAAUGCAUGCAAGUCGAGCGAACAGACGAGGAGCUUGCUCCUCUGACGUUAGCGGCGGACGGGUGAGUAACACGUGGAUAACCUACCUAUAAGACUGGGAUAACUUCGGGAAACCGGAGCUAAUACCGGAUAAUAUAUUGAACCGCAUGGUUCAAUAGUGGAAGACGGUUUUGCUGUCACUUAUAGAUGGAUCCGCGCCGCAUUAGCUAGUUGGUAAGGUAACGGCUUACCAAGGCAACGAUGCGUAGCCGACCUGAGAGGGUGAUCGGCCACACUGGAACUGAGACACGGUCCAGACUCCUACGGGAGGCAGCAGUAGGGAAUCUUCCGCAAUGGGCGAAAACCUGACGGAGCAACGCCGCGUGAGUGAUGAAGGUCUUCGGAUCGUAAAACUCUGUUAUUAGGGAAGAACAAAUGUGUAAGUAACUAUGCACGUCUUGACGGUACCUAAUCAGAAAGCCACGGCUAACUACGUG